Molecule: long non-coding RNA, 611 nt
Filed under: Marmota monax (woodchuck)
Lineage: Eukaryota; Metazoa; Chordata; Mammalia; Rodentia; Sciuridae
Source: RNAcentral
UAGAAUACAAAGGCAAUUAAAAGCUCUCCCAGGCUCAAUCUAAGAAAAAAACUUUACUGUGCAUUUUCAUAUCAUCUUAUGGGUCUUUUUUUUCUUUAUGUCUUUCUUCUUAUAACUUAAGUGCAGCUUCAGAGACUCUAAGUGAGAACAAAGCCACUGAAUGUCCUCUGAAAGCACCAAGCCUUUCCUCCUCAGCAGAUGGGGCUGACCACUACACAACCAGACCAACUGGGAACAAGGGCCCAAAUGCACUUUCCUUGAAGUUAAUACUGAUUGCAUCCAGAAGAUCUGGGCCCCUCUAGAUUUGAUGCCCAGUUUGUAACAGUUCUAGUGGCCCCAUCUCACCAGUGUCACAGAGCAGAUGCAAUGACUGGGUGAGUGUCAUGCCUAACACCGUGGACAGUGGUUCCUGGUGGAGGAGGGGGAACAGUGGAAUUGAGGAGUGCCUGCAGCGCCAUGGCCCCAGUGACAGAUUGCUGUCCACUCAGCUUCCUCACCUACCAUCUCUUUUUCUCUCCUGAGCCUUUCACUUAUCAGGGCCCAACUCCACAACUUCUUCUUCCUCAUGAAUCCAAAACCCUUUGGAGCUUGUGUUGAUGAGUGUGCCCUCU